CCUACGGGGGGCAGCAGUGAGGAAUAUUGGUCAAUGGACGAGAGUCUGAACCAGCCAAGUAGCGUGAAGGAUGACUGCCCUAUGGGUUGUAAACUUCUUUUAUAUGGGAAUAAAACGUUCCACGUGUGGGAUUUUGUAUGUACCAUAUGAAUAAGGAUCGGCUAACUCCGUGCCAGCAGCCGCGGUAAUACGGAGGAUCCGAGCGUUAUCCGGAUUUAUUGGGUUUAAAGGGAGCGUAGGUGGGUUGUUAAGUCAGUUGUGAAAGUUUGCGGCUCAACCGUAAAAUUGCAGUUGAGACUGGCAGUCUUGAGUACAGUAGAGGUAGGCGGAAUUCGUGGUGUAGCGGUGAAAUGCUUAGAUAUCACGAAGAACUCCGAUUGCGAAGGCAGUUCACUGGACUGCAACUGACACUGAGGCUCGAAAGUGUGGGUAUCAAACAGGAUUAGAUACCCUUGUAGUC
This 460-nucleotide ribosomal RNA is filed under the name uncultured bacterium. Its description in RNAcentral is "partial 16S ribosomal RNA". It matches the Rfam family "Bacterial small subunit ribosomal RNA", at positions 338 to 795 of the family's 1533-position model. The record is from RNAcentral.